RNAcentral lists this ribosomal RNA (301 nucleotides) under uncultured bacterium. RNAcentral describes it as "partial 16S ribosomal RNA". It matches the Rfam family "Bacterial small subunit ribosomal RNA", at positions 509 to 807 of the family's 1533-position model. The record is from RNAcentral.
CAGUAGCCACGGUAAAACGGAGGAUCCAAGCGUUAUCCGGAAUCAUUGGGUUUAAAGGGUCCGUAGGCGGUCUUGUAAGUCAGUGGUGAAAGCCCAUCGCUCAACGGUGGAACGGCCAUUGAUACUGCAGGACUUGAAUUAUUGGGAAGUAACUAGAAUAUGUAGUGUAGCGGUGAAAUGCUUAGAGAUUACAUGGAAUACCAAUUGCGAAGGCAGGUUACUACCAAUUGAUUGACGCUGAUGGACGAAAGCGUGGGGAGCAAACAGGAUUAGAUACCCCAGUAGUCCCUGUCUCUUAUAC